This 254-nucleotide ribosomal RNA is filed under the name uncultured bacterium. RNAcentral describes it as "partial 16S ribosomal RNA". It matches the Rfam family "Bacterial small subunit ribosomal RNA", at positions 524 to 776 of the family's 1533-position model. The record is from RNAcentral.
UACGGAGGAUCCAAGCGUUAUCCGGAAUUACUGGGCGUAAAGAGUUGCGUAGGUGGCAUAGUAAGUAGAUAGUGAAAGCGUUCGGCUCAACCGAAUAUCCAUUAUCUAAACUGCUAAGCUAGAGGAUGAGAGAGGUUAUUGGAAUUCCCAGUGUAGGAGUGAAAUCCGUAGAUAUUGGGAGGAACACCGAUGGCGUAGGCAGAUAACUGGCUCAUUCCUGACACUAAGGCACGAAAGCGUGGGGAGCAAACGGG